This is a long non-coding RNA of Octopus bimaculoides (California two-spot octopus), 2798 nucleotides long. RefSeq lists it as uncharacterized. The record is from RefSeq and is a predicted model, not a curated record. Lineage: Eukaryota; Metazoa; Mollusca; Cephalopoda; Octopoda; Octopodidae.
GUGAAUAUGAUACUUAAGUUUAGGCACCAGAAUUAAGUAUGGUAUUAUCCAUACAAUUCGAAAAUAAGGUGAUUAAAUCAAAGCCAACAAGGAUAUCCAAAGUUAAUGCAGUACGAUCGUUUCAUGCGACUCCAUUUAUUUAAGCAAUGUGAACUUUGUAUAUCCUUGUUACUUAUUUUGGAUAUCCUUGUUGCUUAUGUGUGUAUAUAUACACACAUAUUUACUUUAACUUGUUUCAGUUUCUUUCACCUCCCAGACAUCUUUAGCGAGACUUGUUGCUGUUCUAUUUUCAUGGUAUCGAAACGCAUUUCGAUGGGAAUACACCCUCGUCUUGCAAGAAGUUUUCCUGGCCUCUAUAUGUGUCUCAUAAUUUUGCGAGUCGUCUUUUCUGUUACUUCUUCGAUAAGAACAUUUCGAAUAUUACAUUCAAAACGAUUUGAAAAUUACAAAAACUGACACAGUAAAAAUCAAUGAAAUUUCACAAAGAUAUAUUCAUCGCAUAACUUCUUCAAAAUAAUACAUAUAUAUACUUCUAGCAUAAUAUGCUCUUAUAUGUAUGUAAGUAAUAGUGCCACAGCAGCAGUUGAAAACAAAGAUUGGCUCUUGAAUUAUAAGUGGAAGUAAAGUUUUUUAUUCGAAAUUUUAUAUCGAAGAAUAUUUAAGAUAAAUUAGUUAGGCUAUUUUACUUUGCUACUCUUGUAUUGUAUAUAUAUUUACCAUAUAAGUUGUUCCUGAAUAUGUUUUAAUUACAUUACGGAGACGUUUUGUUUGUAUACGUACAGUUUUUUUAACAUAUCUGGGGCUAUACAGUGUCUUACAACUAUUUCUCUUUCUAUGGGAAUUACCGAGCAUGAUGCUUUGGGAUCCUUGUUCAUUCGGAGAUAAUUACCUAAUAUCGUCUUUUCGAAUGCUUUCGCAUAAUAAUCAGUAUUGUCAUUGAAAAUUUCAUUGCUAACACAUUUAUUAGCAACGUAUAUAUAAACCAUCACAAUUAUAUAUUUCUUAUUAAAAGGGUAUACAAGUCAUUGAAAUACAUUCAAAAUAUUACGGCAUGGAAUAAUGCUACCGUGUCUCUAAUAUGAAUGUAGCACCACAUUCUAAUCGUAAUUGUAAUUGAAAUCAAUACUGCUAUAUUCUAUGUAUAAUGCAAGUUAAUCUACUAAUAACAUUUUUGAAACUGCAACAAAAUCUUUAUUCAAUUUUCUAUAUUUGUUGCCUUAAAACACUCCCUUAAUCUACUACUGUAGAGUGUACAAUACUCCAAAUACGUUGCUACGUAUAUUAGGUAUAUAUUGCAUGUAUAUAUUACAUGUUUGUCACUGUCAAUACUUCUAAUAUAUUCCAUGGCAAUGUAUAAUAUCCAUGGAAAUCCCACAUUCAUGUGUAAUACAACUGUAUCAAUGAAAUUACACUGUGCUGCUACUGCAAAUGUCUUUUUUAUGUCGUAGAUGAUUUGCAGUAUGUUUUGUUUGGUUUUUGGUACAGCUAUUGUAAUUUCAUUGAAAAUGUUCAAUAUAUAGCAAAAUAAUAGCUGUGAUUAUUAUAGAAAUGUUUCAACGGCAUAUCCUUCAUUUGUUGCAGCUGUAGUUAUAUACUGAAGACACAGUGGCAGCAGAAACGCAGUGCUUAUCCCAACAGUGUUGCCAGAGCUUUUUUUCAGUUUUUCCGCAGCCUUUGGAAUCUGAAAGAAAAUUGUUUUUUUUAUUUAAUUUGCUGUCGAGACUUAGUUUGAAAGUGAACAAUAUAUCUUACAAAAAAUACACCAUGGAUAGUUGACGUUAUUAAAACUACUGCAAUUAUGACCGUUCGAUACGUUUGUCACAGCGGAUACCAAAACGAAUUUCGAUGGAAAUACAACCUUGUCUUGUAGGAAAUUUCUCUGGCCCCAUGUGGAUUCAUUGGCAUUAAUUAAAAAUAUCAAAAUUAUCAAUGGCAGACCCUAUGAUUACACAAGAAAUGAAGAGGCACGCUGUCAUCCUGGUUAUAAAGGCUGAACAUAGCAAUUUAGAAAUAGCACGAUUUUGAAAAGUCGCUAGAUCCUUCGUCUACAAAAUCCGAAAGGAGUUAGGGGCUAAAGACAGAAAUGUAUGGCCAGUAUCAAAACGUAAGAAACGUUAUAAAAAAAAUGAUACUAUUAGAACACCAGAACAGCGGUUUAAUUCUCCAUUAAUAUACCUGCAAUUCGUUAAUGUGUGAUAGUAUUAGUGCUUACGCUUAUCAAGUUCCAGUUGUCUUUAUAGAUGUUUUCAUCCGUCCUGUAGGCUGUAGGGGAGAACAGAAUUUUGAUAAUAUAAUAUAAGGAAAAUGGAGAGUUUGAACACAGUGCUUGGAAGUAACGUGUGUAGCGUGUGCUUGUCGCAUUGCCUGUGACACAGUAAGCUGAGAAGAGAGUCUGCAUCAAAUUUGCCAAAAGCUUAGUCUUACCUCCCCAAAGGCCUACGCAAAGUUUUCAAAAAUUAUCACCGUUCUCGACACAAUCUUUUUGUCAUAGUCAAUGCGACGAUCACACGUAACACACGUUACUUAGAACCACUGCUGUAAACAGCGGAAGUAUGCUAUAACGUGAAACCUUAGUGCACAUGCACAGCAGCCUUCAAGGUCAACAUGUGCCAAGCAACUUCACUCUGCAUGCUUUAGCUUUGUUACAGUCCGAAUACUUACUGAUCAGACCUCGUAGAUAUUUUACAUUCAUUUCCAAAGUAUCACAUUGUAUUUAAAUUUCUGGUGCAAUGAAAAUGAAUAGAUAUUGUUCAUUAGUAUGGUGGAAAUGUAUUGACAAUAAAACACAAUAAUAAUUA